This 429-nucleotide ribosomal RNA is filed under the name Actinomycetes bacterium. RNAcentral's name for it is "Actinobacteria bacterium partial 16S ribosomal RNA". It matches the Rfam family "Bacterial small subunit ribosomal RNA", at positions 355 to 776 of the family's 1533-position model. Lineage: Bacteria; Bacillati; Actinomycetota; Actinomycetes. The record is from RNAcentral.
UAGGGAAUCUUCCGCAAUGGGCGAAAGCCUGACGGAGCAACGCCGCGUGAGUGAUGAAGGUCUUCGGAUCGUAAAACUCUGUUAUUAGGGAAGAACAAAUGUGUAAGUAACUAUGCACGUCUUGACGGUACCUAAUCAGAAAGCCACGGCUAACUACGUGCCAGCAGCCGCGGUAAUACGUAGGUGGCAAGCGUUAUCCGGAAUUAUUGGGCGUAAAGCGCGCGUAGGCGGUUUUUUAAGUCUGAUGUGAAAGCCCACGGCUCAACCGUGGAGGUUCAUUGGAAACUGGAAAACUUGAGUGCAGAAGAGGAAAGUGGAAUUCCAUGUGUAGCGGUGAAAUGCGCAGAGAUAUGGAGGAACACCAGUGGCGAAGGCGACUUUCUGGUCUGUAACUGACGCUGAUGUGCGAAAGCGUGGGGAUCAAACAGG